RNAcentral lists this long non-coding RNA (1888 nucleotides) under Homo sapiens (human). RNAcentral describes it as "long non-coding RNA NONHSAT005677.2". Lineage: Eukaryota; Metazoa; Chordata; Mammalia; Primates; Hominidae. The record is from RNAcentral.
CUUGUGUUGAAAAUCUUACUAGUAUAGGACUCAACAGAAAAUAUAUUCCCCAAAUGCCCGUAAGAAUUCCUACUUCAAACCUCAGACUUCAAAUAACUGCCAGAACUACUUGACUGAGCUCUGGAAUGAGUAAUUUUUUUUAGAAGCAGAGGUGGAGCCACUGAGGAAGCACAGGUGAGCCCUCCCCAGUGUGUACUCACUGGUCCCCAACAGAAGAACCACUGCCACAUCCACUGAGCAGACUCCCAUGGUUGUGGGUUGUGUCACCCCACAAUGUCACUGUUGCUGAGUCCCCAUCGCCUCUGUGUUGUGGAGCAGUUAGAGACACACAGCAGUGUCUGUGAGUAGCUCUGCGUGAAGGACCAUUUUCUAGAUGAGAGGCACAUCUCAACACAGCUCACUGAUCAGAUUCAGCAAUUCCAUUCUGCAUCUUUUCUGAUCACCUCCGUGACCACACAGGACAACCCCAUCAGGGCCCUGUCACCAGGCCCAGUCUAGCUCCAUGAUAACCAAGACACAGGUCCAGAGACAAUCAUCCUACAUUGUGCCUGCAUCUGACCCCCCUUGGUAGGUAGUGACCAGCACUACAUGGAAGAAGCCAGGGCAGCUAGCAGCCAGCUGCUCUGCAGCCCCAAAUGGCUCCUGGGCCUUGGGAAGUCAUUCAUAAAGCGGAAGCUGGUCACUUUGAGGUCCCUGAAGGUAAGGGUGAACGUGCAUCCUAACAGCCCUGGCAGCCAGCAGCAUGCCAUACAUAUUCUCACCCAACGUGUGUGACAGAGGUCCCCUCCUGGGGCACAAGUCCCAUACCUAAAGCAUCCUGUCCCAGUCGGACCUCAUCCUGAGCCCUGGGAGGGGAGGGGCACCAUGGACCUGUUAGUGCUGUCUCAGGGACACCAGACCAACAUCCUGGACAUCAUCCACAUACACAAGGAAGCUCUUACCAAAGUCAUGGAGAGCAGGCAACAUGUGGCAGAAGGAAAGACAGAGGUGCAGAGGCUGAUGACGUCAGAAUCACAGGAACAGGAUUUCUUUGGCCACUUUGGCUGAAAUUCACCACUUCCAUCCAAUUCCAGUGAGAGACAUGGACUCACAGAUGCAGCAUUUCUUGCAACAAGAGAUACUACUUUUUCAAAAAGUCACCCAGGAAUUGAUAGUGUUGAAUGCCUCGAUACUCGAUCGUGGACGGUUUCCAGUUCAAGGAUACUUUCUACAGCAGAAUAAUAACACUAGCAAAGAGCUAGUACAAGGAUGGUUUUGUGCUCAACUGAAAUCCAGCUGAAUACAGAAUUGUAUAGGAAACAGUUAAUAUGGUGAUAGAAUAGAAACAGUAGCAAUCGUGAACUAAAUCAUACUAUGAAUGCCUAAACUACUGCUGUAACUUUUGGAAAAAUGAUAAUACCACUUUAUUGCUUUUCGAAGUAUGAAUAUUUUAGUGUAUAUGCUCUAGACUUCAAACUCUAUAAAGAGUCUCAAAGAAGUUGGCUGGAUAAAGCCUGCUGUGGAUGUCUUUAUAUUCAAAGAUUGAUGAUGCAAUUUGAAUAUGUGUCCCCACCGAAUCUCAUGUUGAAUUAUAUUUCCUAAUGUGGAAGGUGGAUCCUGGUAUAAGGUGAUUGAAUUAUGAAGGCAAAUUUCUCAUGAAUGGUUCAGCACCCUCCCCUUGUACCAUCCUCACAAUAAUGAGUGACUUCUCAUGAGAUGUAGUCACUGAAAUCUCUAUAUCACCUCCCCACUCUCCGUGUUUUCCCCUUGCCAUGUGAGACAAUUGAUUCUUUCUUCGCCUUCCAUGAUUAUUGAAAGAUUUCUGAGGCCUAGAAGCAGAAGCACUGUGCUUAGAACCAUGAGCCAAUUAAACCUCUUUUUCAAAAUAAAUCAUACAGAAAAUGGCAAA